Molecule: ribosomal RNA, 490 nt
Filed under: uncultured bacterium
Lineage: Bacteria
Description: bacterial SSU rRNA
Rfam family: Bacterial small subunit ribosomal RNA
Source: RNAcentral
GAUGAACGCUAGCGAUAGGCCUAACACAUGCAAGUCGAGGGGCAUCACAUGAAGUAGCAAUACGGAUGGUGGCGACCGGCGCACGGGUGAGUAACACGUAUGCAACCUGCCUUCAACAAGGGGAUAACCCGUUGAAAGACGGACUAAUACCCUAUAACACAGGGGUCCCGCAUGGGGAUAUUUGUUAAAGGACAACCGGUUGAAGAUGGGCAUGCGUUCCAUUAGCUAGUUGGCGGGGUAAGGGCCCACCAAGGCAACGAUGGAUAGGGGAACUGAGAGGUUUAUCCCCCACACUGGUACUGAGACACGGACCAGACUCCUACGGGAGGCAGCAGUGAGGAAUAUUGGUCAAUGGACGCAAGUCUGAACCAGCCACGUCGCGUGAAGGAAGACGGCCCUACGGGUUGUAAACUUCUUUUAUACGGGAAUAAAGUGCCCCACGCGUGGGGUUUUGCAUGUACCGUAUGAAUAAGGAUCGGCUAACUACGUG